RNAcentral lists this ribosomal RNA (301 nucleotides) under uncultured bacterium. RNAcentral's name for it is "partial 16S ribosomal RNA". It matches the Rfam family "Bacterial small subunit ribosomal RNA", at positions 509 to 807 of the family's 1533-position model. The record is from RNAcentral.
CAGUCGCCGCGGGAACACGAAGGGUGCAAGCGUUAAUCGGAAUUACUGGGCGUAAAGCGUGCGUAGGCGGUGAGUUAAGUCUGCUGUGAAAUCCCCGGGCUCAACCUGGGAAUGGCAGUGGAUACUGGCUCGCUACAGUGUGUCAGAGGAUGGUGGAAUUCCCGGUGUAGCGGUGAAAUGCGUAGAGAUCGGGAGGAACAUCAGUGGCGAAGGCGGCCAUCUGGGACAACACUGACGCUGAGGCACGAAAGCUAGGGGAGCAAACAGGAUUAGAUACCCCUGUAGUCCCUGUCUCUUAUAC